GGGGCGGUGGCGCAGUUGGCUAGCGCGUAGGUCUCAUAGCUGCAUUGAGCGAUGCCGUGGCUGGGCGGUGGGGCCGGCGCACGUUGAGGAUAAAUAUCUCAGAGCUAGUGAGUAAUCCUGAGGUCGAGAGUUCGAGCCUCUCUCGCCCCA
Non-coding RNA from Triticum aestivum (bread wheat), 150 nucleotides. The record is from Rfam. Lineage: Eukaryota; Viridiplantae; Streptophyta; Magnoliopsida; Poales; Poaceae.